UUUCAGCUGACAUUAAGCUUGGCAUCCUUUUGGAACCAUACCUGCAAUAUUAGAAUGUUCCAGUUUCUCUACUCUUUAAUAGCUGCUUCCUGCGUCAGAACCACCUUGGGGUUGCCGCCCUUUGGUUUCCCUCAUAAAACACCGGGAUUGUAACCAAGUGCAAUUUAAAAUUUGUCCACUUUAUUUCCGAGCUUCAGUGAUAAUUAUCAUGUGGUUAGAGCAUCAGGAAGAUUGGUAGAUGCUCCAAGAACUUUCCCACCAACAUCUGGAAAAUAUUCAUGACCAGGCAGUGGACUGACUUUUCCAUCUCGGCUCACCUUAAUUGGAUAACUCAUCAAGUGACCUCUCAUCUCCUUGUUUCCCUCAGCCACGUAAGUCUUCCAGUUACAUUUAGCAAUUUUGUUCACAUGCUCAAUGCAUUCUAGGGUCUGCGGUUCACGGAAAGAAUCUUCGAGGAAGCCAAGGUGCUCAGCCCAGAGAGACAUCCGAUAACCAUACACCUGCAUCCAACAAGCAGCUUUUUCCACCCAACACUCCUCAAGGGGUAUCAAGAUGAAAGAUCCACAAUCUCAUGAUGGUUGGAUGUGAAAAACAUCACGGUGAAGAGAAAUGAAGGUAGCUGAGAUGCAACCCAUGAUUGCACACUUAUUGCAAGCAAUGCGGGCACUCCAGCAAUGACUGCUUGCAUGCCAGCAAUGUGAAUGUGUGGAAGCCCAAACAGGGAUCCCAGAAGGUGAUUGCAGAUCCUCCGACAUGCUACUUUGGAGUCAAGUUCUUUUCAAGCAGGGGAAUAUUGACUGAGUGAAGUAGCACUCAGCAGUCAGCAUUUGGUGGUGGAGGUGGUGGCUAGCAGUAGUGAAUGGUGGUUGGUGGUGGCAAUGGGCAGCAGUGGCCCACUUUGGUGAGCAGUGUGGGUGGCGGUUACCAGUUGUGAGUAGCGGUGGAUGGUAGUGGUUGGCAGUGGCAGGCAGUGGUGCAUGGAGGUGGAUGGCAGCGGUAGGAAGCAGUAAGUGUUGGUGGUGGUUGGCAGCAGUGGACAAUGCGGUCAAUGAUGGUGGUCAGCAUUGGCAGCUGCAAGUGAUGAGCAACAAUGGGUGAUGUUGGAACCUGUGAGUGAUGGGAUAUGAAAGGGUUGGGAGUCUUAUAUUGUAUCUGAAUUCAUAUAAAGCAUUAUUUAUAGAACCCUAAAAUCGAGGUGUUUC
Long non-coding RNA from Malania oleifera, 1202 nucleotides. RefSeq lists it as uncharacterized. The transcript has 3 exons. The record is from RefSeq and is a predicted model, not a curated record. Lineage: Eukaryota; Viridiplantae; Streptophyta; Magnoliopsida; Santalales; Ximeniaceae.